Molecule: ribosomal RNA, 433 nt
Filed under: uncultured bacterium
Lineage: Bacteria
Description: partial 16S ribosomal RNA
Rfam family: Bacterial small subunit ribosomal RNA
Source: RNAcentral
AACGAACGCUGGCGGCAUGCCUAACACAUGCAAGUCGAACGAGACCUUCGGGUCCAGUGGCGCACGGGUGCGUAACGCGUGGGAACCUGCCCUUAGGUUCGGAAUAACUCCCCGAAAGGGGUGCUAAUACCGGAUAAUGUCUUCGGACCAAAGAUUUAUCGACUUUGGAUGGGCCCGCGUUGGAUUAGCUAGUUGGUAGGGUAAAAGCCUACCAAGGCGACGAUCCAUAGCUGGUCUGAGAGGAUGAUCAGCCACACUGGGACUGAGACACGGCCCAGAAUCCUACGGGAGGGAGCAGUGGGGAAUAUUGGACAGUGGGCGAAAGCCUGAUCCAGCAAUGCCGGGUGAGUGAUGAAGGCCUUAGGGUUGUAAAGCUCUUUUACCCGGGAUGAUAAUGACGGUACCGGGAGAAUAAGCUCCGGCUAACUCCGUG